Molecule: long non-coding RNA, 1087 nt
Organism: Psammomys obesus (fat sand rat)
Lineage: Eukaryota; Metazoa; Chordata; Mammalia; Rodentia; Muridae
Exons: 3
Source: RefSeq, a predicted model, not a curated record
CUGGCCUGGGUGCGGCUGCAGGAGGCUGGAGCUGGAGCUUCGUCGGAGGCUGCGGCGAUCUGGUCUCCAGCAGGGCGGUGCCUCCUCUGCGCCCUCCCCUCCUCCUUCCUCUGUGGGGUUGGCACCCAGGGCCCAUCUGCUCAGCACCCCAGGCCUCCUUCAGAAUCGCCACUAACUUAUGUCACCUUCUGACACAGGAUGGUGCUAGGCUGUGCUGACCGGCCUCCUACUUCAGGCCCCUACUGCUGGCAGGACAGUGCUGCGCCACCCGGCCUGGCUUGGGUGAGGAGGCUCUGACGUCUUUCUUCACACAGAAGUCUCCAGCAAAGAGCAGAAGAGGCCUCCGCUCCACCCUGGCGAAGCCCUGUGGAGACAAGUGAAAACAGUGGGAAAAACGUCUCCGUGGAGCUGUUUACGUAACUCAGAUCCAGCCGGCAGCGGCAGCGCUGAGCUCCUCCCGGAAGCCAGGCCGAGGGCGGCUCCCUCAUGAGGUGGAGAGGAGGUUGCUCCAAACAACCACCUAACCCUUGGACACAGCACUGCUCCCCAGCAGGACGCCCUGACUGUGCUGCCCUCUGGGAGGGAGGUGUGCUAUGCCGGCCCUGGAAGCCAGUGGGGGGAGCCAGAGCGUGGUGCCUGCUCUCUCAGAAGCCCAGCAAUUUCAGCCUCGGGCGAGGAGGCAGGGCCUUGCCUUCCGGAAGCAUCAGGCGGUUAUCGAGGGGUCUGUGUGGAAAAUGCAUAAGCCGGGCCUGGUGACCGAGGCAGCAGGAGCCAGAAGUUCAAAGACCCGGCUGGAGAGGCUGCUCAAGUGAAGGCUUGCAAAGCAAGCAGAGGGCCCGAGUUCAGUACCUGCAGUGAGCCCACACAUGGGGAUGGGGGUGGGGGGAGAGGGAAGCCAGCAACGGUGCUGCAUGCGACCUCAGCAGCAGGACACGGAGGCCGGAAGACCCCUGUCGCCUAGAAAGCCCAGCCUCCUUAUGGUUUCAGGCCACUGAGAGGCUUGGCUUCAAAAACCAAGCUAGGCAGCUCUAGAAAACGUCUGUGUCUUCCGGCCGCCAUGUGCAUGUUCCCACAUGUGCACGCAGAC